CCAAACUUGGUCAUUUAGAGGAAGUAAAAGUCGUAACAAGGUUUCCGUAGGUGAACCUGCGGAAGGAUCAUUAUCGAGUUUUUGAAGCGAGGUCUGUUGCUGGUGCGGAAACGCGCAUGUGCACGGCUUUCGCGCUCAAAUCCACUCAACCCCUGUGCACCUUUAUCCUGUCGAAGCGAGUAGUUUGGGACCUUUGAGGACGUGUGUAGCAGUAGCCGGCCAAGUAGAAAGGGGAAGGGUAACAGCUCUCCAUUCGAAAGGCGAAGCGUCGUCUCUCGUCUAGCUCGGGCGAAAGCUUUGGCUUGUAUUUAAAAACCACAUUUGUUGUCUUGUGAAUGCAAACGCUCCUCGUGGGCGAAAAUAAAUACAACUUUCAACAACGGAUCUCUUGGCUCUCGCAUCGAUGAAGAACGCAGC
Molecule: unclassified non-coding RNA, 417 nt
Filed under: uncultured fungus
Lineage: Eukaryota; Fungi
Description: partial contains small subunit ribosomal RNA, internal transcribed spacer 1, and 5.8S ribosomal RNA
Rfam family: Eukaryotic small subunit ribosomal RNA (bases 1-73)
Source: RNAcentral